This 72-nucleotide transfer RNA is filed under the name bacterium. RNAcentral's name for it is "tRNA-Met". It matches the Rfam family "tRNA". Rfam says of the family: Transfer RNA (tRNA) molecules are approximately 80 nucleotides in length. Their secondary structure includes four short double-helical elements and three loops (D, anti-codon, and T loops). The record is from RNAcentral. RNAcentral also lists the same sequence under 1 other name.
ACCGAAGUGGCGCAGAGGUAGCGCGUAAGGCUCAUAACCUUAAGGACACAGGAUCGAAACCUGUCUUCGGUA